GGAAGUAAAGUCGUAACAAGGUUUCCGUAGGUGAACCUGCGGAAGGAUCAUUCAUAAUAAGUGUUUUAUGGCACUUUUUUAAUCCAUAUCCACCUUGUGUGCAAUGUCAGGGUUGAUUUUUCUCUCGAGAGGAUCAGCCCCAAACAUCAACUAUAUCUCAACUCUUUGUCUGAAAAAUAUUAUGAAUAAAACAAUUCAAAAUACAACUUUCAACAACGGAUCUCUUGGCUCUC
Molecule: unclassified non-coding RNA, 233 nt
Filed under: plant metagenome
Description: partial contains small subunit ribosomal RNA, internal transcribed spacer 1, and 5.8S ribosomal RNA
Rfam family: Eukaryotic small subunit ribosomal RNA (bases 1-53)
Source: RNAcentral